RNAcentral lists this ribosomal RNA (253 nucleotides) under uncultured bacterium. Its description in RNAcentral is "partial 16S ribosomal RNA". It matches the Rfam family "Bacterial small subunit ribosomal RNA", at positions 524 to 776 of the family's 1533-position model. The record is from RNAcentral.
UACGGAGGGUGCAAGCGUUAUCCGGAUUCACUGGGUUUAAAGGGAGCGCAGGCGGGCUGGUAAGUCAGUGGUGAAAUACCCGUGCUUAACAUGGGAACUGCCAUUGAUACUAUUGGUCUUGAAUAUCGUUGAGGUUUGCGGAAUGGGUCAUGUAGCGGUGAAAUGCUUAGAUAUGACAUAGAACACCAAUUGCGAAGGCAGCUGGCUACACAUAUAUUGACACUGAGGCACGAAAGCGUGGGGAUCAAACAGG